AUACGUAGGUGACAAGCGUUAUCCGGAUUUACUGGGCGUAAAGGGCGUGUAGGCGGUCUUGCAAGUCAGAAGUGAAAUUCCUGAGCUCAACUCGGGCGCUGCUUCUGAAACUGCAGGACUUGAGUGCUGGAGGGGAUAGCGGAAUUCCUAGUGGAGCGGUAAAAUGCGCAGAUAUUAGGAAGAACACCGGUGGCGAAGGCGGCUAUCUGGACAGUAACUGACGCUGAGGCGCGAAAGCGUGGGGAGCAAACAGGAUUAGAUACCCUGGUAGGCCACGCCGUAAACGAUGAAUACUAGGUGUAGGGGGUAUCGACUCCCUCUGUGCCGCAGUUAACACAAUAAGUAUUCCGCCUGGGGAGUACGGCCGCAAGGUUGAAACUUAAAGGAAUUGGCGGGG
Molecule: ribosomal RNA, 397 nt
Filed under: uncultured bacterium
Lineage: Bacteria
Description: partial 16S ribosomal RNA
Rfam family: Bacterial small subunit ribosomal RNA
Source: RNAcentral